Contarinia nasturtii (swede midge) is the source of this 562-nucleotide long non-coding RNA. RefSeq lists it as uncharacterized. The transcript has 3 exons. Lineage: Eukaryota; Metazoa; Arthropoda; Insecta; Diptera; Cecidomyiidae. The record is from RefSeq and is a predicted model, not a curated record.
AACACCGAUGCAAAUGCUAUUGGAACACCCUCCAAAUCGGCAGCAAAUUUUCAACUCCGCACAGAUCUUGAAUUGAUACGAUUUUUUUUGCUCUUGCCAGUGUAGAAAAAAAAUGGAACAAGAACGUGAUAUGGACGCCUUGAUAGAGAUGAUGCGUGGCAACUUGGGCGAGUGGGUGAAAUUGAUGGAUCAAUGCCAAGCGAUGAUUGAUCAGCUGAAGAUGCAUAAAAGAGAGUUGUCGACAUCUUCAUUGUCAUUGGAUGACAUGUACCGAGAAGCAUUGCGCGACAAGGAGCAAAAACAGAUGGACGAAGCAUUGGCCAAGUUUCGAAAGGAGAAAGAAGAAAGAAAAGACGAAUGCAAGUCACAGAACGAAAGCACCAACAAUGAGAAAAACUAAACCGUCUAAGACCAGUCGAGACCAGUUCCACCGUACUGCCACAUAACAACAAGUCAUGAUUCAUUGAAUUGUGAACAAGUUUUCUUCAUUACUAGCUUCAUUAAUACAAUGACAUCUAUAGUGACAUUCUUUUUACAUUCGCACUCUCGCCAUAGGAAAAUG